UCCCAGGUGGUCCAGUGGGUAGGACUCAGUGCUCUCACUGUCGUGGCCCAGGUUCAAUUCCUGGUCAGGGAA
Molecule: transfer RNA, 72 nt
Filed under: Bos taurus (domestic cattle)
Lineage: Eukaryota; Metazoa; Chordata; Mammalia; Artiodactyla; Bovidae
Also listed under: 4 other names
Rfam family: tRNA
About the family: Transfer RNA (tRNA) molecules are approximately 80 nucleotides in length. Their secondary structure includes four short double-helical elements and three loops (D, anti-codon, and T loops).
Source: Rfam by way of RNAcentral